GUACUUUUGAAGAGUCCCAAACUAGGACGAAACAGCUUUCCAGUAC
Trichobilharzia regenti is the source of this 46-nucleotide non-coding RNA. NCBI's taxonomy places the organism in Eukaryota, Metazoa, Platyhelminthes, Trematoda, Strigeidida, Schistosomatidae. The record is from Rfam.